RNAcentral lists this ribosomal RNA (468 nucleotides) under uncultured bacterium. Its description in RNAcentral is "partial 16S ribosomal RNA". It matches the Rfam family "Bacterial small subunit ribosomal RNA", at positions 28 to 507 of the family's 1533-position model. The record is from RNAcentral.
GACGAACGCUGGCGGCGUGCUUAACACAUGCAAGUCGAACGGAAAGGCCCUGCUUUUGUGGGGUGCUCGAGUGGCGAACGGGUGAGUAACACGUGAGUAACCUGCCCUUGACUUUGGGAUAACUUCAGGAAACUGGGGCUAAUACCGGAUAGGAGCUCCUGCUGCAUGGGGGGGGUUGGAAAGUUUCGGCGGGGGGGGAUGGACUCGCGGCUUGUCAGCUUGUUGGUGGGGUAGUGGCUUACCAAGGCAUUGACGGGUAGCCGGCCUGAGAGGGUGACCGGCGACAUUGGGACUGAGAUACGGCCCAGACUCCUACGGGAGGCAGCAGUGGGGAAUAUUGCACAAUGGGCGGAAGCCUGAUGCAGCAACGCCGCGUGCGGGAUGACGGCCUUCGGGUUGUAAACCGCUUUCGCCUGUGACGAAGCGUGAGUGACGGUAAUGGGUAAAGAAGCACCGGCUAACUACGUG